RNAcentral lists this long non-coding RNA (4825 nucleotides) under Triticum aestivum (bread wheat). Its description in RNAcentral is "long non-coding RNA (TAES_LNC014916)". Lineage: Eukaryota; Viridiplantae; Streptophyta; Magnoliopsida; Poales; Poaceae. The record is from RNAcentral.
GUGAUUCAGGUGUAUAUUGAAGAAAUGUGAUUGCCGAUUUGCUUUUCUCUCUUUACAGUUUGUGUUUGUGUCUUUUCGCUUUUUCAGCCACUUUGUUGUAACAUGCUCAAUAUUCUUUGGGGUGGUUGGUGUUAUCAAGGACAGCACGUGAAGCCUGCUGGAAAUCACAUGAUGAUCAUUCUCCUCUGCCUGGUCUGUGUCCUGUGAUUCCUAAAUGUCUGUCAUGUGAUUGUACUUUUAAUGAUCUAGUGAUGUAUGAUUGUAUUCUCAGUUGCUUGAAACAUGCAUGCAUCAACUGGGGAACUGCUUGAAACAUCUGUUCCAUACACCUUAACUUUUUAAAAGAAAGAUUCUAUGAUUUGUUGGUGCGCCUGCUUUGAGCCUAAGCCAACCACAAGCAAAAAAGAAAUUGGCUAGCCAAUAUACUGGAUAAGGUUUUGGCUUCCCACGUUUUCUUCAAUGUUGGCAAAGAAAAAUAAAUUAGAAUUGGAUUAAGCAUGCGUUAAUAUUAGGAAUGAUUCAAGCAAUGCCCAAAAUUUUGGUCAUGACCAAUUUUUUUUCUUAACUGUGUGACAAAAAAUGGUACACCAUCUAUACAUGCCCACUUCAAGCUGAGGCAAAUUGCCUCAAGUUUGGAAAAGAAAGACACAACCUUUUUUUGAGGAAGAAAGACACUCGAUAAUGGCUACACUCUGCAUAUGCUCUUCUCGGCUGCUCAGCCAACCCCUCCUUGCCUAGCUGUUGGCGCGUGGUUUUUCCAUAGUUGCGGUUGGAAAUUGAUCAUUGCGAGGGAUGCACCUAGCCUAAAGCUAUUAGGCAUCCUCUGACCCGUACGGGCAUCUUCAAGGGAAUGCACCAAAAGUCCAAAACCCCUCUGCCCGUUCCGAUUUAUUUGUGGACGUGUUCAUGGAAAAAGCCCAUUUAUCCGUCAUAAAUUAGACACCUGGCGGCAUCCCCCAUUUGUCUGACCCUUUUUGUCCAUUUUCAUUUUCAGCCUAAAUUGAAUAUUCGAAAGACACAACUUAAAAAUAAAAAAUACAUAGUUCAAGUUUAGAAAUAUACAGUUUGAACAUAGAUAUUAAUCAGAGGACAUGUUUAAACAUAAAAAUACUCAAAAGUACGUCACAGAUCUAUUGACUUACAUGAUGUAUUCACAAAUGCUCUACAAGAUCAUUUAGAAGUUAUUGAUGCGCUUCUAGAUCUCGAAGUUGCUGAUGCAUAUUGAGCAAAUGUGCAACCUGAUAUGCCUCUUCUUCCAAGAGAUGGACAUAUGUGCCAUGGUUUUCAAAGUUAACAUUCUGUACACCAUCACCCUCAUCCUUCAAUCAUGUUGUGCAUGAUCAUACAAUUAGUCAUCAUCUUCUACAAUGUCUUGGGAUCCCACAUAUUUGUAGGUCCAUGUAUAAUAGCCCAUCAAGCUUGCAGCACCUCAAAUGCCCACUCCCCGUCCUUCCUAGCACCUUCUUGCAUUUGGGCAAAGAGAGUCUUUUUGUUACCUUGCGACUCGGUGUCAGUCUUCACAAUCGUCACCCAUUAAGGAAAAAUACCGGCAGCAACGUAGUACCACAUGGUGUACUCGUGCCCAUUGAUGGUAUAGUUGCACUCGGGAGCCUUGCAACACAAAGUCUUGCAAACAAUGACGAUCGCUGAAGCACGUCGAUGUUGCUAUGAGACCCUGGCUUGCCAAAGAAAGAGUGUCAAAUCUACAGGUCGUGUCAUGUCACUACUUCCGGUAUGAUGGUGGGCUCUCGGAGUAUGAUAUUGGUAUCGUCCUUAUGAACCUACUAGAUAGUUCUUCCAUUCCUAGUGCAUGCAAUUGAUGGAACCAGGCAUACCGGGAAACCCUCUUCAUUCUCCAAAUGCCAAAAGCUUGGCUGUGUCGGCAUAGUUGGUUCUCUCAAGUACUCUUUGCCAAACACCUUCACCACUAAAGUGGAAAAUCUGACCAUCGCUUUAAUACAUGACCUCUCUGCCAUCCGGAUACACUCAUCAACAGUGUUUGUCCCAUUGUAUCAUAUGCAGAUAUUCUCAUAGCAGCAGUGCAAUUCUAGAGACAAGAGAACCCAAGUAGCUUGGUGCAAUCCCUCUUUAGCGUGAAGUGUCAUAUUCGUUCACACCCUCCACAAUGCGUAAGAACACAUGCCUAUGCAUCCGAAAAUGAGGAUGAAAGAAGCCAUAAUGACAUGUCAGCUUGGCCCAUGAAUAGUCAGUGUAGAGUACCAACGCCACCCUUUCCCCUUUUUGGUUAUCAGUUAUCCUGCUCGACGUAGAACCCAUGAAGUUGAGAAUAUGCUCCUCUUCCUUCUUCGAUGCUCCGAGAAUACUCAACAUUAACAUAAACUCAUAGUCGUUGUCACCUUCGUCCCAUGUCGAUGAUAUGAAGAAUUCGUUGUAAUUAAAAGCAUCAUUGGUGUCCAUCUUUUGCACCCCACAAAUGUGCAACAAGAAAGCGGCCAAACUCUAUUUCAGACAUUUCGUUGAAUAAGUGGUGCACGAGGUGGACGGCAUUUGUGGUCGGGGGUCUAAGACAUACCAAGAGUGGCGUCCAUACGACGAGCGUGUUCGGGGGCAAUGAUCCGGGUGAGCGUGUGACUAGAUGGGGCGCGGGUUGGGGGAGGAACAGAGGAUGAAAGAAUGGAGAUAGGCGGAGGGAGGAAGGAAGCUCUAGGGUUUGAGAUGGGGCCCAUGUCUCGUCAGUCCGGACAACCCUCAUUUCUCCUCCACAUAUGGUCUGGGUUUGGAGAGUUCGGACAACCCAGGCAUAUAUCCUAGGUUUAGGGGAGGCCCUGCUGGAUGGCCUUUCGAUUGUGUUUGUAUCAUAAACGGCCAAUAACUCGUAUUUUUCCUCGAACGAUGCUUCUUUUGGAAUUGCGGAGAUCAUGCAUAUUCAACGUUUGUGUGUUAACAAACCUUUUCUUUUGCUUUUAUAUUUUUGAGAUUGCUCACCACAAGUGUCAUGUGGUGCCUGAGGGUAUCUCCAACGCCAACACAAACUAGACAACGCAUCCGUUCGUGGAUUGGGGGACCAGACCGCGGACACUGAUGCAAGGCCUACCAUCCAAUCAUAGCCGCAAAUGUCUGCACAUUUCGGAAGAAUUUAACGGAAGAGAACAAAUUUGAUGCAUAUUUAACAAACUGGACGAUAUUCAUUCAUAUUUUGAUGAUUUUUACAUAGAACUGGAUGCUUUUCAUCUAAGCUGGAGCAAGGUCAUUACAUCUUGACAUAUUCAACUAAAUUGUACUCUAAACCUAGUCUAAAUGACCGUUGGCGUCCAUUCCCCAUGCCUGACCGGUCAUGAGCCCCGAAAAAUGAAGCUCCGCCUCCGUAGCCUGCAAGCGACUAAUCCGGCAACGAUGAUGAGCCCGUCAAGCUUAGCUUCAAUGGGAAGGGAGGAGUGGUGUGGCCUUCCUGGGACCCGAGCGUCGGCGACCUCCCAUGCUCCACUCUUCUCGCUACCGGCGGCGCCCGCGGACGUGCCGUCUUCGUCCUCGUGGCAGCGGGGCGUGGUCGAGGUGGAGCUGGCGACGUCGUCCCUAUGGCACCGGGGCAAGGCCGACUUCAUCCACCACCUCAUCGAUCUCCUUGAAGGCGGCUUCUAACUCUGUCUGAUGGACGCAGUACCGCCAGCGGGUGCAGCAGAUGUCGCGGGCGGUGUGGUAGGAUUGGACCAGCGCCUCCUGCUCGCCCACGACCAUGUCCGGCGCGAUGCCCGUGCCGCCGACGAGUUGCUCCUUCGCACGCUGGUGCUCGUCGAGGAGGCGAUGGUUGUACGCCUGGUCGCCUUGCGCCUACAGGGACGUGGCAUAUGUCGCUUUUCCAACACCAUGUUGGUGUAGUGAGCUCGGGCCUCGCCCAUGGUGAUGCCGGCAUGGGCCGGCGAGGAAGUUGGCACAAGCUCGUUGUCGGCCGCCUCUUCCAUUGGGGCGUCCGCAGCGCUGGCCUUCGGUGAGCUUGUCCGUCUGCCGACCUGCCAGCCUACUGCAAUGGUGGCGAUCUCCUUUAUUUGCUCGGACUAGAGGCUGUCCCAGAGGGCUUUGGAGCUCGAGGAGGCCAUCAUGGGCAUGCCGUCGAGGGGAGUUAGGGAGCAGAGGAGGUUGAAUGCGGCUGUUGCCGAGCCUGAAGUUUAAAUAGCGUGCAGAUGGUAGGGCAUGCAACGAGGUGGCUAACGGUGGGUAACAGACGGAUGAACAGGUGACGCUGGAGCAGGUUCCUCGGCAACCGUGCAUGUUUAAUGUAGGGAGGCGGACAUACUGGAUGUCAUUUGAACGCCGAUCAGUCGCGUGCACCGGGAUGCGGCGCGGGCGGUGCUCUCAAUGCCGGAGCGACCUGAAAGGUUGCGUCCAUUUUGGGCAGGCAUGAAUGCGGCGGUGACGCUCUGGAGCGGCGGUGACCGCUUUGGACGGGAAACUGCUCGAGCGGAAGAGGGUUUGUGUGGGCCAGGGACAUUGGAUGUUUGCGUGGCAGCAAUCCAAACUCCCGCGAAGCCCCUCAGUUUACUUCCGGUUAAUCUCUGUCUCUACUGCUUAAUAAUCAAUCACCUUAAUAUACUUACCUUCUAAAACAAUUGCACUUUAAUUUAUUUGUCAAACUUCUAAUCAAAAUAUAAGGUAAUUCAAGGGUAUAAUUUGAUAUACAUUUAUUUACACAAUCACAUCAUUAUUAAUAGAUAAAUCACAAGCUAACAUGUUAAAAUAUUUAUAUCCUGUUGCGAUGCACGGACAUUAUUUUAGUACGAGAAAAAUGACAUUCGAACCAUCGAAUGAAUCCAUAUUGUGGGCAGUCUGAGGGUCCAACGGAGAUGCCAAACAACCCAAAAAAAAAAAA